This 201-nucleotide non-coding RNA is filed under the name Clostridium kluyveri. Its description in RNAcentral is "T-box sequence". It matches the Rfam family "T-box leader". Rfam says of the family: Uncharged tRNA acts as the effector for transcription antitermination of genes in the T-box leader family. T-boxes are found upstream of many aminoacyl-tRNA synthetase genes and some amino acid biosynthetic genes usually in Gram-positive bacteria. Lineage: Bacteria; Bacillati; Bacillota; Clostridia; Eubacteriales; Clostridiaceae. The record is from RNAcentral.
AUAAAGGCGAUGAUAAGAUAAAGUAGAUAUGUCAAGUAUUUCAAAGAGAGUGGGAUAAAGAUGUGAACCCAUAAAUACGCAUUUCGAAAAUCAUCUUGAAGCUGUAGGCUGAAAUUCAAGUAAGCUGAUCCGGUUAUGUAAAUCGUUAUUUAAAUCAAGUAAAAAAAUGGGUGGUACCGCGGCAGACAUUUCGCCCCAGCG